CGUGUAGGCGGUCAGGUAAGUGGAAUGUGAAAUGCCCCGGCUCACCCGGGGACCGGCAUCCCAAACUGCCUGGCUUGAGUAUGGGAGAGGAUGGAGGAAUUCCUGGUGUAGCGGUGAAAUGCGUAGAUACCAGGAGGAACACCGGUGGCGAAGGCGUCCAUCUGGCCCAAUACUGACGCUGAGGCGCGAAAGCUAGGGGAGCAAACG
RNAcentral lists this ribosomal RNA (207 nucleotides) under uncultured Latescibacterota bacterium. RNAcentral describes it as "uncultured Latescibacteria bacterium partial 16S ribosomal RNA". It matches the Rfam family "Bacterial small subunit ribosomal RNA", at positions 568 to 774 of the family's 1533-position model. Lineage: Bacteria; Pseudomonadati; Candidatus Latescibacterota. The record is from RNAcentral.